GAUGAACGCUGGCGGCGUGCCUAAUACAUGCAAGUCGAGCGAACGGACGAGAAGCUUGCUCCUCUGAUGUUAGCGGCGGACGGGUGAGUAACACGUGGAUAACCUACCUAUAAGACUGGGAUAACUUCGGGACACCGGAGCUAAUACCGGAUAAUAUAUUGAACCGCAUGGUUCAAUAGUGAAAGACGGUCUUGCUGUCACUUAUAGAUGGAUCCGCGCCGCAUUAGCUAGUUGGUAAGGUAACGGCUUACCAAGGCAACGAUGCAUAGCCGACCUGAGAGGGUGAUCGGCCACACUGGAACUGAGACACGGUCCAGACUCCUACGGGAGGCAGCAGUAGGGAAUCUUCCGCAAUGGGCGAAAGCCUGACGGAGCAACGCCGCGUGAGUGAUGAAGGUCUUCGGAUCGUAAAACUCUGUUAUUAGGGAAGAACAAAUGUGUAAGUAACUGUGCACACCUUGACGGUACCUAAUCAGAAAGCCACGGCUAACUACGUG
RNAcentral lists this ribosomal RNA (497 nucleotides) under uncultured bacterium. RNAcentral's name for it is "partial 16S ribosomal RNA". It matches the Rfam family "Bacterial small subunit ribosomal RNA", at positions 28 to 507 of the family's 1533-position model. The record is from RNAcentral.